AACACUUCUUGGUCUUUUGGCUAAGAUCAAGUGUAUUAUCUGUUCUUAUCUGUUUAGUAUCUGAUAAUGUCCUCGAUCCAAGGACAAUAUAUUCAAUGGAUUUUUGGAACGGGGAGGUGGAAUAGAAGCUUGCUCCAUCCGCUCCACAUAUUGACCUGGAAUUACAGUAUUUCCAGGAACAGUGCAGAAAAA
Molecule: small nuclear RNA, 192 nt
Filed under: Castor canadensis (American beaver)
Lineage: Eukaryota; Metazoa; Chordata; Mammalia; Rodentia; Castoridae
Description: U2 spliceosomal RNA (ENSCCNG00000021496.1)
Rfam family: U2 spliceosomal RNA
About the family: U2 is a small nuclear RNA (snRNA) component of the spliceosome (involved in pre-mRNA splicing). Complementary binding between U2 snRNA (in an area lying towards the 5' end but 3' to hairpin I) and the branchpoint sequence (BPS) of the intron results the bulging out of an unpaired adenosine, on the BPS, which initiates a nucleophilic attack at the intronic 5' splice site, thus starting the first of two transesterification reactions that mediate splicing.
Source: Rfam by way of RNAcentral